RNAcentral lists this transfer RNA (71 nucleotides) under Cricetulus griseus (Chinese hamster). It matches the Rfam family "tRNA". Rfam says of the family: Transfer RNA (tRNA) molecules are approximately 80 nucleotides in length. Their secondary structure includes four short double-helical elements and three loops (D, anti-codon, and T loops). Lineage: Eukaryota; Metazoa; Chordata; Mammalia; Rodentia; Cricetidae. The record is from Rfam by way of RNAcentral.
GGGAAUGGAGCUCAGUUGGUAGAGUGCUUGCCUAGGAUGUAUGAAGCCCUGGAUUCCAUCCAGCAUGAUCA